Molecule: ribosomal RNA, 232 nt
Filed under: Bacteroidota bacterium
Lineage: Bacteria; Pseudomonadati; Bacteroidota
Description: Bacteroidetes bacterium (marine metagenome) partial 23S ribosomal RNA
Rfam family: Bacterial large subunit ribosomal RNA
Source: RNAcentral
ACGAACCUCUAGUGUACCGGUUGUCGCGCCAGCGGCAUCGCCGGGUAGCUACGUUGGGAAGGGAUAAGCGCUGAAAGCAUCUAAGUGCGAAACCCAUUUCAAGAAUAGGACACGCUUCAUUUUUGAACUGAAGGCUCCUUGAAGACUACGAGGUCGAUAGGCCGUAGGUGGAAGCGCAGUAAUGUGUGCAGCCGAGCGGUACUAAUAAGCCGUGAGACUUGACCUUCUUUAU